This 2103-nucleotide long non-coding RNA is filed under the name Homo sapiens (human). Its description in RNAcentral is "HSALNT0190156". Lineage: Eukaryota; Metazoa; Chordata; Mammalia; Primates; Hominidae. The record is from RNAcentral.
GAAGUUUCCAACUCAUGAAAGGGUGUUAUUGACAGUCACAGUAAGACGUUUGGAAUCCACAUGUAAACUCUGUGAUGAACAUGGCCCCGCACAGAGGACCUGAGACAUUUUGAGGAGGGCCUUCUACGUUUCUUCUCCCAGCACAUGAGAGAUUCAGAAGGAACUACAGAUGCACCCAUGGGUGCCCCAGGCAGAAAGUGCCAAAGAUGAGAAUGAGAUUCCAACCAGGCUGCUGAGAGAAGCCCCUUUCAUGGAUAUUGAGAAAAAUAAGAAAAAGGAAAAUUGAAAAGCAAUUAUUUUGAAUUACUUUCUUACAUCCUUGAGUACACUAAUUUCUUUGGGGGAACAAGAAGAGAUUCAUUUUUGAGGGAAGGGGUUGAUUUCUCCAUGAGAACAAAGGAUUAACUUAAUAAUGGGAUAUGAGGAGCCGAGGAGUUUGCCUGAUUAUAUAAUAAAGGCAGUAUCUUGUCCUGGGUUACGUUUAAUUAAAAGAAUAUUCUGUUAUGUUUUGGAGGCUUCUGAAGAAAAUAAUUAAAAGAUAUUUAUGAAGUGACUUGGAAAUAUGAACUGCUCACUACCUAGGUCUAGAAGAUAUACAAAAGCAAUGAUGACGACGUAGCAGUGCUUUUUCAAAGGCAUAUACAAGACAUCUCACCCUGUGAUUACCUUGUCCUUUAAGGGGAACAGUAACCUCUCAGAUAAGUCAUUGGAUUAAGCAGUUUUCUGCAGGAGGAGCUCAAGAUUCAGAUAUGGCACACAAAAGGCAGAUUGUCUAGCACAAAUCGAGGACAUCCAAUUGGAUCAUAAUACUAGGGAGUGGAGUUUUCAAUGAAAUAAGCAGUUUCUGUUUCUCUGUGUGUGUGUGUGUGUGUGUAUGCACAUGUGUGUGUGUGUCUCUCUUUGUCUCUCUCUGUCUCUGUGUCUCUGUGUGUGUGUGUAGGCACGUGUGUGUGUUUCUCUCUCUCUGUCUCUCUCUCUCUCUCCCCCAAACUCCUUUCUCUCAUCCUCCCUCCCUGCCUUUGUCUCUCUCUCUCUGGCUUCAUUUUUCUCUAUCUUGGAUCCUUACUUCUUCCUUUUGGUUUACUUCCUAUUGCUUUUUCUCUAUUUUACCUCUUCCCUUGGAGCAGGUGGACUAUGAGCCAACUGUACAGAUUCUCCAGGAAGAAAAAUAUUCUUCCUUCUGUUCCCCAAGUCCCAAGAACUCAAGGGAGAACAGAGAAAAAGAAGCUUAGAAUAGGUGACUGGAGUCUACUUUGUUGAAGGCUGCAAGCAGAACUUUCUUUCCCUUGGAUUAAUCUUUUGGACCACACAAAAGAUAAUAAAACUCCUGCCGAAGAUGAAGGUUUGGCCCUGGCGAAAGAAGUCAAAAGAGUCCCUUGGCCUGUUCCUGGUCAAGGGUCUUGGGCUAGAUGCACAAAGGGAGUCACUGAGGCUCCCCUUUCAUUAGUUCCAGUUCACUGCGUUUGGAAACAAAAUCUCUAUCAUAGGAAACUACAGAAAUAGUGGGGCCAAUUCCCCAGCUGAAACUGAUUGUAGAGCUUCUUCAGAAAAGCCACAAUAUCAGCAGUGCUGGUUGAAAAUGCAGAGAUUGGGGCCAUCUCUAUUUAUCUCCAUAGGACAUACAACAAUUAGCAACCAAUGUCAGUGCCCUCUGCUUCACCACUAUUUCUUUAUUUCUUCUUCUUGGACUCCUGGAGUCAUUUAGUUUACUAAAGUGUAUGCAUUAUGUUGCUUUCUUUGGUAAUUAAAUAAAUGAUAUGACUGGUCUGUCUAUCCUGAUCAGCAUAUCUUUUCUGUGCACUGGUCAGAGCCACAUUUUUUACCUAAAAUACCUAAAAAGACUGUAAUUUUUAUGAAAAUGCAAGAUUUUUCAUAUGUUCUACAUGAGGAUAUCUGAAACUUGACCCAUACUGUCGUGUUGGCUCAAAUAAAGAAAUAAAGCCCAAUAUUCUUGGUGAGUUGCAAAUGACCACUGAUUUGCAAAAUCUGAUAUUGUUCUAUUACACUUGAUUUUUAAAAAUCAAUUUUAUUUUCCUGAGUUGUGCAUUAAUAAUAAGGUGAAAGCAAUGUUUUGUUAUUUUUUUUACUCCUUUGUUUUAACGC